RNAcentral lists this microRNA precursor (79 nucleotides) under Chlorocebus sabaeus (green monkey). RNAcentral's name for it is "miRNA (ENSCSAG00000026077.1)". The record is from RNAcentral. Lineage: Eukaryota; Metazoa; Chordata; Mammalia; Primates; Cercopithecidae.
AUGUGUUAUAUAUGCAUAUAUAUAAGCAUGUGUCUAUAUGUUUAUAUAUACACACACACACACACACGUGUGUGAAGUA